This is a long non-coding RNA of Carlito syrichta (Philippine tarsier), 629 nucleotides long. RefSeq lists it as uncharacterized. NCBI's taxonomy places the organism in Eukaryota, Metazoa, Chordata, Mammalia, Primates, Tarsiidae. The record is from RefSeq and is a predicted model, not a curated record. The transcript has 2 exons.
UUGUCAGUUUUGCUGGUCUGUGAACAAGCUGGCCCAGGAGCUGACCAAGGCGUGGACUGUCCAAAGGACCUCAAGCGUGGCUGGUGGCUGGCAGUUAACGCUUCGAGAGAGAACCAGGAUGGCAAGCUUCUUCUGGGCUCUGUUACAGGCAUGCAUUCGCUGUGAGUCUGGACUAAGGCUGGGAGUCAGAUCCGUGCCUGAAAUGUUCUAAGCCGACUUACUGAAAAUCGCCCGAUCACCCACGUCAACUCACUGGAUCUACCUGGCAGAGACAGAUGCUAUCAAGAUCCCUUUGGGAAAAAGUGAAGGGAUGUGUUUCUGUCUCCAUUUGUGGCCCCCAGGUGAUAGGUCGCGCCACGCACGGACAUGACUUACAGCCUGACUUACUGAAAAGUAGACUACCCUGUGUGUGGCUUUGGUGAAUGGAACACUUGGAUGUGCACACACACACCCCGAGGCUGCUAGACACCCUGGCGGCCUCCUGGCUUGCCAGACUCUGCACUGGACUGCGAACGUCAUGAGGACCGGGACUAGGGCCAUCUAGUUCAGUGCUGUCUCCUCAGCCCUAAAGCAUGCCUGGGCACAGCUGGCACGAGUCCGUAGUUGUGAAUAAAUGAUUCGCUGGGUGA